GCCCCGGUAGCUCAGUUGGAUAGAGCGGCAGCCUUCUAAGCUGUAGGUCACAGGUUCGAUCCCUGUCCGGGGUACCA
This 77-nucleotide transfer RNA is filed under the name Candidatus Peregrinibacteria bacterium CG_4_9_14_3_um_filter_49_12. RNAcentral describes it as "tRNA-Arg". It matches the Rfam family "tRNA". Rfam says of the family: Transfer RNA (tRNA) molecules are approximately 80 nucleotides in length. Their secondary structure includes four short double-helical elements and three loops (D, anti-codon, and T loops). The record is from RNAcentral. Lineage: Bacteria; Candidatus Peregrinibacteriota. RNAcentral also lists the same sequence under 6 other names.